This 253-nucleotide ribosomal RNA is filed under the name uncultured bacterium. RNAcentral's name for it is "partial 16S ribosomal RNA". It matches the Rfam family "Bacterial small subunit ribosomal RNA", at positions 524 to 776 of the family's 1533-position model. The record is from RNAcentral.
UACGAAGGGGGCUAGCGUUGUUCGGAAUCACUGGGCGUAAAGCGCACGUAGGCGGAUCUUUAAGUCAGGGGUGAAAUCCCGAGGCUCAACCUCGGAACUGCCUUUGAUACUGGGGAUCUCGAGUCCGGGAGAGGUGAGUGGAACUGCGAGUGUAGAGGUGAAAUUCGUAGAUAUUCGCAAGAACACCAGUGGCGAAGGCGGCUCACUGGCCCGGGACUGACGCUGAGGUGCGAAAGCGUGGGGAGCAAACAGG